AACGGGUAACGCCAGCUGCCACAAACCCGUAGAUCCGAACUUGUGGUGACUGGCUGCGCAAGCUCGUAUCUAUAGGUAUGUGUCUUCCUGGCAAAUACAGCU
This is a microRNA precursor of Oryzias javanicus (javanese ricefish), 102 nucleotides long. Ensembl annotates it as microRNA 100-2. Its record names the gene mir100-2. The record is from Ensembl. NCBI's taxonomy places the organism in Eukaryota, Metazoa, Chordata, Actinopteri, Beloniformes, Adrianichthyidae.